Asterias rubens (European starfish) is the source of this 1595-nucleotide long non-coding RNA. RefSeq lists it as uncharacterized. NCBI's taxonomy places the organism in Eukaryota, Metazoa, Echinodermata, Asteroidea, Forcipulatida, Asteriidae. The transcript has 3 exons. The record is from RefSeq and is a predicted model, not a curated record.
GUUAUCUGAAAGCUCACUGAUAUAGAAACAGUUAUCUGAAAGCUCACUGAUAUAGAAACAAAGUAGAUCAGCAAUACUUCAUAAGAGAACUGUUUCAGACAUUUGAACCCCCUUCCAAGAACUGUUUCAGACAUUUGAACCCCCCUUCCAAGAACUGUUUCAGACAUUUGAACCCCCUUCCAAGAACUGUUUCAGACAUUUGAACCCCCUUCCAAGAACUGUUUCAGACAUUUGAACCCCCUUCCAAGAACUGUUUCAGACAUUUGAACCCCCUUCCAAGAACUGUUUCAGACAUUUGAACCCCCCUUCCAAGAACUGUUUCAGACAUUUGAACCCCCCUUCCAAGAACUGUUUCAGACAUUUGAACCCCCUUCCAAGAACUGUUUCAGACAUUUGAACCCCCUUCCAAGAACUGUUUCAGACAUUUGAACCCCCUUCCAAGAACUGUUUCAGACAUUUGAACCCCCCUUCCAAGAACUGUUUCAGACAUUUGAACCCCCCUUCCAAGAACUGUUUCAGACAUUUGAACCCCCCUUCCAAGAACUGUUUCAGACAUUUGAACCCCCCUUCCAAGAACUGUUUCAGACAUUUGAACCCCCCUUCCAAGAACUGUUUCAGACAUUUGAACCCCCUUCCAAGAACUGUUUCAGACAUUUGAACCCCCCUUCCAAGAACUGUUUCAGACAUUUGAACCCCCCUUCCAAGAACUGUUUCAGACAUUUGAACCCCCUUCCAAGAACUGUUUCAGACAUUUGAACCCCCCUUCCAAGAACUGUUUCAGAAAUUUGAACCCCCCUUCCAAGAACUAUUUCAGACAUUUGAACCCCCUUUCCAAUUACAUUUACUUUUUUUUUUAAUAAUAACUUUUUUGCAUUGGUUCAUCCAGCUAUUUGUUUCACACAACUCAGAAGUAUACAGUGCUAAUCUGUGCAUCGGUAAAACCAUAGAAUUACUAUUUUGUUGCUGUUUUCAAUUAUUUGUUGCUGCAAAUUGUUUGAUUUGUUUUUUUGUUGUUGCAGACAGGCUCAUCAUCUACAAAGACAUCUACCCAUCAGCAAGUAGAUCUCCAAGACCAUCCUUUGAUACAGGAGCUGCACUCUCAAGUCGAAGUCUGGCUGAUUAUCUCCAACUACAUCUACCCUGUAAUGAGCAGAUGUCCAAGACCAACCUAAGCCUUCGGAGUCUCUUGACGGUUGCUACACCAGGAUACUGCGUAUGGCCCUAAACAUCUCCUGGCAGGACCUUAUGAGAAAGUGCAACCUCUAUGCUGGCACAAGACUACAGGCGAGAUCUGCGAACACCGACUCAAGUUUGCUGGGCACUGUGUUCAUCCCCUCUGAGCUUGUUGCUUGCCCAACCAUCCUCUUGGAGACCACUCAUCAAGGCAAGGCUUCUUGUAGGAGAAGAUGUCUUUCAUUCAUAGACACCCUGAAACGAGACACCAGCUUUGCCAGCGCUGAGGAACUAAACUCUCCUGCAUGCUGGAUCGACACAUCUGGACAAAAAUUCCAAGCUUAACAUCUGCAAAGCUCUCUGACUACAAGUAGAUCUCCAUCCAAGUCCAGCCGACGAUGAAGGAGCUACACUCUCCAGUU